This 710-nucleotide ribosomal RNA is filed under the name uncultured bacterium. Its description in RNAcentral is "bacterial SSU rRNA". It matches the Rfam family "Bacterial small subunit ribosomal RNA", at positions 8 to 697 of the family's 1533-position model. The record is from RNAcentral.
AGAGUUUGAUCCUGGCUCAGAACGAACGCUGGCGGCGUGCCUAACACAUGCAAGUCGAACGUGAUCCAUCCUUCGGGGUGGUGAAAGUGGCGCACGGGUGAGUAACGCGUGGAUAAUCUGCCCGAGGAUUUGGGAUAACAUCUCGAAAGGGGUGCUAAUACCGAAUAAGCCCACGGGGUCUACGGAUCUUGCGGGAAAAGGGGGGGACCUUCGGGCCUCCUGUCUUCGGAUGAGUCCGCGUACCAUUAGCUAGUUGGUGGGGUAAUGGCCUACCAAGGCGACGAUGGUUAGCUGGUCUGAGAGGAUGAUCAGCCACACUGGAACUGAGACACGGUCCAGACUCCUACGGGAGGCAGCAGUGGGGAAUUUUGCGCAAUGGGGGAAACCCUGACGCAGCAACGCCGCGUGGGUGAUGAAGGCCUUCGGGUCGUAAAGCCCUGUCGGGAGGGAAGAAAUGAUUGUGAGCUAAUACCUCAUGGUCUUGACGGUACCUCCGAAGGAAGCACCGGCUAACUCCGUGCCAGCAGCCGCGGUAAUACGGAGGGUGCAAGCGUUGUUCGGAAUUAUUGGGCGUAAAGCGCGUGUAGGCGGUCUUUUAAGUCUGAUGUGAAAGCCCCGGGCUCAACCUGGGAAGUGCAUUGGAAACUGGAAGACUUGAGUACGGGAGAGGAGAGUGGAAUUCCUAGUGUAGGAGUGAAAUCCGUAGAUAU